ACCAGGUCCACCACUAGCAACCUCCACGUUUAGCUUUUGGAAGCUUCCCAACCCAGUCCAUUUAGUUUUUUAUGGAGGCCUCAUUACACAGGUAUAACCAACUAAAUCGUUGGCCACUGGUGAUCAGCUCCACUUUCAGCCCUGGUCUGUGCCCAGAUCAUGCCUUGGUCUUUCUGGUGGCCCAUCCCAUACUGUCCUGAGGCUUUCUAACCCUCAGCCACCAGUCAUCUCAUUUGAAGACACUUGGGACUCUGGCGAUUCCAAGGUGCUCUGUGUCUGGAACCAGAGAAUAAUCAUUUUCCAUGAAUUCCUAUAUGGAUUUUUAAAAGAACACAACAGUACUGAACUAUCUGAAGUACUCAUUCCUGAAAAUCAUGAACAUGGACACAAAUUCUACCUCUAUCAACUUUUAUUUAAAUCAGUGGAUAUUUAUGUAAUGUGUUUUGGUUUAAAAGAAUUGUAUCUAGGUAUAUAUUUUCAUAUAUGUGCCAGAACAAAUAUGUAUUAAUAGUGCUUAACUGAUGUGAUAUUUAUAUUUUAUUAUUAUUCUUGUCUUAAAGUACUCCUUAAAAUGUUUAUACUGUGAAUUAAUAUAAUGUAUUUUUCACAUUAUGCAUCAAUAAUCUGUUUCUUAAUGAGCCAUGAUAAAUGUAUGUAAAUAUUCUUAUAAUACUUGUUUUUAAUGUGUUUUCAGUUUCCAGACCUGUGUUUGUAACCCAUAUCAUAAUCUGUUCACAAAGAAAUAUCACCUUUGAUGCUGUGCAUCAUGCUUUCUUCUAAAUGUAAAAUCAGUUAUUCACAAAUUUGCUGUCAUCAAGGGGAAUAUAUUCAAGUGUAGUCAAUUUAUCAGAGGUCUUGAUAAAAUAACUUGCCAUGUGUAAUUAAUUAUUGCCACCUAGAAGAACUGUGAUGAGAAAGAUACACUUCUAUAUAAUAUUAUAUUAUUUUGACUAUUACAUGGGCUCAUCACAUAAUACAAGUUCUGUGAAAAUCUAAAUGUAUUUAGAGUUUUGUAAAACACAGUUUAGGGAAA
RNAcentral lists this long non-coding RNA (1033 nucleotides) under Heterocephalus glaber (naked mole-rat). RNAcentral's name for it is "lncRNA (ENSHGLG00100051803.1)". Lineage: Eukaryota; Metazoa; Chordata; Mammalia; Rodentia; Bathyergidae. The record is from RNAcentral.